AGCAGCCGCGGUAAUUCCAGCUCCAAUAGCGUAUAUUAAAGUUGUUGCAGUUAAAAAGCUCGUAGUUGAAUUUCGGGAUCAAUUUAUUGGUCGUGCUAUUAUACGUACUGGUAUUAUUGAUUCCUACCUUCUGACGAACCAUGAUGUCAUUAAUUUGGUGUCAUGGGGAAUCAGGACUGUUACUUUGAAAAAAUUAGAGUGUUUAAAGCAGGCUCACGCUUGAAUACAUUAGCAUGGAAUAACGAAAUAGGACGUUUGAUUUUACUUUGUUGGUUUCUAGGAUCGACGUAAUGAUUAAUAGGGAUAGUUGGGGGCAUUAGUAUUCAAUUGUCAGAGGUGAAAUUCUUGGAUUUAUUGAAGACUAACUACUGCGAAAGCAUUUGCCAAGGAUGUUUUCAUUAAUCAAGAACGAAAGUUAGGGGAUCGAAGACGAUCAGAUACCGUCGUAGUCUUAUCCGUGAACAAGUCCGGUGCUUGUUGGACAAGCAAUGUUACGA
Molecule: ribosomal RNA, 497 nt
Filed under: uncultured Glomus
Lineage: Eukaryota; Fungi; Glomeromycota; Glomeromycetes; Glomerales; Glomeraceae
Description: bacterial SSU rRNA
Rfam family: Eukaryotic small subunit ribosomal RNA
Source: RNAcentral